RNAcentral lists this ribosomal RNA (1721 nucleotides) under Campylobacter jejuni. RNAcentral's name for it is "partial 23S ribosomal RNA". It matches the Rfam family "Bacterial large subunit ribosomal RNA", at positions 1223 to 2925 of the family's 2925-position model. Lineage: Bacteria; Pseudomonadati; Campylobacterota; Epsilonproteobacteria; Campylobacterales; Campylobacteraceae. The record is from RNAcentral.
AAGUGGUAGGAGAGCGUUCUAUUUGCGUCGAAGGUAUACCGGUAAGGAGUGCUGGAGCGAAUAGAAGUGAGCAUGCAGGCAUGAGUAGCGAUAAUUAAUGUGAGAAUCAUUAACGCCGUAAACCCAAGGUUUCCUACGCGAUGCUCGUCAUCGUAGGGUUAGUCGGGUCCUAAGUCGAGUCCGAAAGGGGUAGACGAUGGCAAAUUGGUUAAUAUUCCAAUACCAACAUUAGUGUGCGAUGGAAGGACGCUUAGGGCUAAGGGGGCUAGCGGAUGGAAGUGCUAGUCUAAGGUUGUAGGAGGUUAUACAGGCAAAUCCGUAUAACAAUACUCCGAGAACUGAAAGGCUUUUUGAAGUCUUCGGAUGGAUAGAAGAACCCCUGAUGCCGUCGAGCCAAGAAAAGUUUCUAAGUUUAGCUAAUGUUGCCCGUACCGUAAACCGACACAGGUGGGUGGGAUGAGUAUUCUAAGGCGCGUGGAAGAACUCUCUUUAAGGAACUCUGCAAAAUAGCACCGUAUCUUCGGUAUAAGGUGUGGUUAGCUUCGUACUAGGAUUUACUCCGAAAGCGAAGAAACUUACAACAAAGAGUCCCUCCCGACUGUUUACCAAAAACACAGCACUCUGCUAACUCGUAAGAGGAUGUAUAGGGUGUGACGCCUGCCCGGUGCUCGAAGGUUAAUUGAUGGGGUUAGCAUUAGCGAAGCUCUUGAUCGAAGCCCGAGUAAACGGCGGCCGUAACUAUAACGGUCCUAAGGUAGCGAAAUUCCUUGUCGGUUAAAUACCGACCUGCAUGAAUGGCGUAACGAGAUGGGAGCUGUCUCAAAGAGGGAUCCAGUGAAAUUGUAGUGGAGGUGAAAAUUCCUCCUACCCGCGGCAAGACGGAAAGACCCCGUGGACCUUUACUACAGCUUGACACUGCUAUUUGGAUAAGAAUGUGCAGGAUAGGUGGGAGGCUUUGAGUAUAUGACGCCAGUUGUAUAUGAGCCAUUGUUGAGAUACCACUCUUUCUUAUUUGGGUAGCUAACCAGCUUGAGUUAUCCUCAAGUGGGACAAUGUCUGGUGGGUAGUUUGACUGGGGCGGUCGCCUCCCAAAUAAUAACGGAGGCUUACAAAGGUUGGCUCAGAACGGUUGGAAAUCGUUCGUAGAGUAUAAAGGUAUAAGCCAGCUUAACUGCAAGACAUACAAGUCAAGCAGAGACGAAAGUCGGUCUUAGUGAUCCGGUGGUUCUGUGUGGAAGGGCCAUCGCUCAAAGGAUAAAAGGUACCCCGGGGAUAACAGGCUGAUCUCCCCCAAGAGCUCACAUCGACGGGGAGGUUUGGCACCUCGAUGUCGGCUCAUCGCAUCCUGGGGCUGGAGCAGGUCCCAAGGGUAUGGCUGUUCGCCAUUUAAAGCGGUACGCGAGCUGGGUUCAGAACGUCGUGAGACAGUUCGGUCCCUAUCUGCCGUGGGCGUAAGAAGAUUGAAGAGAUUUGACCCUAGUACGAGAGGACCGGGUUGAACAAACCACUGGUGUAGCUGUUGUUCUGCCAAGAGCAUCGCAGCGUAGCUAAGUUUGGAAAGGAUAAACGCUGAAAGCAUCUAAGCGUGAAGCCAACUCUAAGAUGAAUCUUCUCUAAGCUCUCUAGAAGACUACUAGUUUGAUAGGCUGGGUGUGUAAUGGAUGAAAGUCCUUUAGCUGACCAGUACUAAUAGAGCGUUUGGCUUAUCUUUAAUAAAGCAU